CAGUAGCCGCGGGAAUACGUAGGUGGCAAGCGUUGUCCGGAAUUAUUGGGCGUAAAGGGAGCGCAGGCGGUUUAGUAAGUCUGAAGUUAAAGGCAUUGGCUCAACCAAUGUAUGCUUUGGAAACUGUUAGACUUGAGUGCAGUAGGGGAGAGUGGAAUUCCAUGUGUAGCGGUGAAACGCGUAGAUAUCGGAAGGAACACCUGUGGCGAAAGCGGCUCACUGGACCAUAACUGACGCUGAUGCACGAAAGCUAGGGGAGCAAACAGGAUCAGAUACCCGGGUAGUCCCUGUCUCUUAUACA
RNAcentral lists this ribosomal RNA (301 nucleotides) under uncultured bacterium. Its description in RNAcentral is "partial 16S ribosomal RNA". It matches the Rfam family "Bacterial small subunit ribosomal RNA", at positions 509 to 808 of the family's 1533-position model. The record is from RNAcentral.